AUCCCAGACUCCUACGGGAGGCAGCAGUGAGGAAUAUUGGUCAAUGGCCGGAAGGCUGAACCAGCCAAGCCGCGUGAAGGACGAAGGUGCCAAGCAUUGUAAACUUCUUUUGUCAAGGGACAAAAUCAGGCUCGAGAGCCUGACCGAGGGUACUUGAAGAAAAAGCAUCGGCUAACUCCGUGCCAGCAGCCGCGGUAAUACGGAGGAUGCGAGCGUUAUCCGGAUUUAUUGGGUUUAAAGGGUGCGUAGGCGGACUGUAAAGUCGGGGGUAAAAGCCGGGGCCCCACCCCCGGCGAGCCGUUGAAACUGGCUGUCUUGAGAUGUCGAGAGGUAUGCGGAAUGCGCAGUGUAGCGGUGAAAUGCUUAGAUAUUAGGAGGAACACCAGUGGCGAAGGCGGCUUACUGGACUGUAACUGACGUUGAGGCUCGAAAGCGUGGGGAGCAAACAGGAUUAGAUACCCCCGUAG
Molecule: ribosomal RNA, 467 nt
Filed under: uncultured bacterium
Lineage: Bacteria
Description: bacterial SSU rRNA
Rfam family: Bacterial small subunit ribosomal RNA
Source: RNAcentral